RNAcentral lists this ribosomal RNA (836 nucleotides) under uncultured bacterium. Its description in RNAcentral is "SSU rRNA". It matches the Rfam family "Bacterial small subunit ribosomal RNA", at positions 56 to 870 of the family's 1533-position model. The record is from RNAcentral.
UGCAGUCGAACGGAUUUGAGGGGCUUGCUCCUCAAGUUAGUGGCGCACGGGUGAGUAACGCGUAGAUAAUCUGCCUGAUGAUCCGGGAUAACACUUCGAAAGGGGUGCUAAUACCGGAUAAGCCCACGGGGUCUUUGGAUUCUGCGGGAAAAGGGGGGGACCUUCGGGCCUUCUGUCAUCAGAUGAGUCUGCGUACCAUUAGCUAGUUGGUAGGGUAAUGGCCUACCAAGGCUACGAUGGUUAGCUGGUUUGAGAGAAUGAUCAGCCACACUGGAACUGAGACACGGUCCAGACUCCUACGGGAGGCAGCAGUGGGGAAUUUUGCGCAAUGGGCGAAAGCCUGACGCAGCAACGCCGCGUGAGUGAUGAAGGCUUUCGGGUCGUAAAGCUCUGUCGAGGGGAAAGAAGUGUAUUGUGGCUAAUAUCCACGAUACUUGACGGUACCCCUAAAGGAAGCACCGGCUAACUCCGUGCCAGCAGCCGCGGUAAUACGGGGGGUGCAAGCGUUGUUCGGAAUUAUUGGGCGUAAAGAGCGUGUAGGCGGUUUGUUAAGUCUGAUGUGAAAGCCCUGGGCUCAACCCAGGAAGUGCAUUGGAAACUGGCAGACUUGAAUACGGGAGAGGGCAGUGGAAUUCCUAGUGUAGGAGUGAAAUCCGUAGAUAUUAGGAGGAACACCGGUGGCGAAGGCGGCUGCCUGGACCGAUAUUGACGCUGAGACGCGAAAGCGUGGGUAGCAAACAGGAUUAGAUACCCUGGUAGUCCACGCCGUAAACGAUGAGAACUAGGUGUUGCGGGUAUUGACCCCUGCAGUGCCGCAGCUAACGCAUUAAGUCUCC